RNAcentral lists this ribosomal RNA (245 nucleotides) under uncultured bacterium. Its description in RNAcentral is "partial small subunit ribosomal RNA". It matches the Rfam family "Bacterial small subunit ribosomal RNA", at positions 26 to 285 of the family's 1533-position model. The record is from RNAcentral.
AGAAUCAACGCUGGCGGCGAGCUUAACACAUGCAAGUCGCACGAGAAAGUGGAGCAAUCCAUGAGUAAAGUGGCGUACGGGUGAGUAAUACGUGGAUCAUCUACCUUUUAGUGGGGAAUACCCCUGGGAAACCGGGGAUAAUACCGCAUAAGCUCGUGAGAGGAAAGCCGAAAGGCGCUGAAAGAGGAGUCCGCGGCUGAUUAGCUAGUUGGUGAGGUAACGGCCCACCAAGGCGAAGAUCGGUA